GGGGCUUAGUGGUGGGGUGACUGCGUACCUUUUGUAUAAUGGGUCAGCGACUUAUAUUCUGUAGCAAGGUUAACCGAAUAGGGGAGCCGGAGGGAAACCGAGUCUUAAUUGGGCGUUAAGUUGCAGGGUAUAGACCCGAAACCCGGUGAUCUAGCCAUGGGCAGGUUGAAGGUUGGGUAACACUAACUGGAGGACCGAACCGACUAAUGUUGAAAAAUUAGCGGAUGACCUGUGGCUGGGGGUGAAAGGCCAAUCAAACCGGGAGAUAGCUGGUUCUCCCCGAAAGCUAUUUAGGUAGCGCCUCGUGAAUUCAUCUCCGGGGGUAGAGCACUGUUUCGGCUAGGGGGCCAUCCCGGCUUACCAACCCGAUGCAAACUGCGAAUACCGGAGAAUGUUAUCACGGGAGACACACGGCGGGUGCUAACGUCCGUCGUGAAGAGGGAAACAACCCAGACCGCCAGCUAAGGUCCCAAAGUCAUGGUUAAGUGGGAAACGAUGUGGGAAGGCCCAGACAGCCAGGAUGUUGGCUUAGAAGCAGCCAUCAUUUAAAGAAAGCGUAAUAGCUCACUGGUCGAGUCGGCCUGCGCGGAAGAUGUAACGGGGCUAAACCAUGCACCGAAGCUGCGGCAGCGAACGUAUCACCCAAGACAACUUUACGGAGUUGACGAUUGACGGAGCGAAGCGACGUCAAAGCGUUCAUUAAAGUCGAGUUGGCUUAGGGAUACGUUCGUUGGGUAGGGGAGCGUUCUGUAAGCCUGUGAAGGUGUGUCGUGAGGCAUGCUGGAGGUAUCAGAAGUGCGAAUGCUGACAUAAGUAACGAUAAAGCGGGUGAAAAGCCCGCUCGCCGGAAGACCAAGGGUUCCUGUCCAACGUUAAUCGGGGCAGGGUGAGUCGACCCCUAAGGCGAGGCCGAAAGGCGUAGUCGAUGGGAAACGGGUUAAUAUUCCCGUACUUGGUGUUACUGCGAAGGGGGGACGGAGAAGGCUAUGUUGGCCGGGCGACGGUUGUCCCGGUUUAAGCGUGUAGGUGUGUGUUCCAGGUAAAUCCGGUUCACUUUAACACUGAGGCGUGACGACGAGGCACUACGGUGCUGAAGCAACAAAUGCCCUGCUUCCAGGAAAAGCCUCUAAGCAUCAGGUAACAC
RNAcentral lists this ribosomal RNA (1144 nucleotides) under Salmonella enterica. RNAcentral's name for it is "partial 23S ribosomal RNA". It matches the Rfam family "Bacterial large subunit ribosomal RNA", at positions 576 to 1637 of the family's 2925-position model. The record is from RNAcentral. Lineage: Bacteria; Pseudomonadati; Pseudomonadota; Gammaproteobacteria; Enterobacterales; Enterobacteriaceae.